Molecule: long non-coding RNA, 512 nt
Organism: Amphimedon queenslandica
Lineage: Eukaryota; Metazoa; Porifera; Demospongiae; Haplosclerida; Niphatidae
Exons: 2
Source: RefSeq, a predicted model, not a curated record
CUAAAGAAGAUUUUGUGGGUAACGUCUCUCACUAUAUUCCUCUCCCAGACUGCUAUAAAGGCCAAAUUAAUAAAAGUCACUAGGCCUCAGUGGGCCGGGAUGCAUGGUUGGUUUUGAGUGUUGUUUAACUUUACUGCAUCCAACACAAAGAAUCAAUUAACACUGAAGGUUACAUAUAGCUAUCACAUUUUAAUGUGAGCCAGGAUAUAUAGAGGAUUAUAUUUCAUAUGGUGCAUGAACUUCAGUAAGACAAAGAGCCUCUCAGGAAUGUUACCACUAGUUCUACCAACCUCAAGACCAAAAUUUUAAAAACCUCCAGUAUUUUAUUACAGUACUGCUAGAGUGGGGCUUGCUCAGGCUCGCUCUAAUAAUUCUUCAAAUUAAAUUUUUAUUAUAGUCACACAGUAUGAAUCAAACAAGAUCAAUCAAAAUUAUAAUCAUCAAUAUUAAUAAAAUCAAAUCCCAAUUCUUUUCUAAUAGCUUUAAAUAAGGCUUUUGCUGCAUCAGCAUAA